CUCUCUCUACCUCUGGAGGUGGAAUAUCAGGAUAAAAACACCUACAGCUGUGUGCUGAACAAUCCCAUCAGCAACCAGACUCAACAUCUGGACAUCACUCACCUCUGUCACACAUGUGCAGGUACGACAGAGCUGAUAUAUGUGAUUUUGUAUCCAUUCACUUACAUUAAUGACUGUCUCUCUUUUACUCCAGUCUCAGUGUCGCUGAUAGUGUUGAUCUCUGCUGCUGCUGCUACUGCUGGAUUUCUGUUGAUUAUAUUUGCAGUCGGAAUCUGGUGCAUCUGCAGGAAACGUAAAAAAUUAGUUGUUAAUGCAGACCAGACCCAUGAGAAAGACCAAACUGAUUCAGCAUUGUGUAAACCAACAAAACGAAAGAAGAAAUCAAAGGAGCCCGUGUAUGAAAAUUUCAACUCAAAACGAUGUUUUUCUUCCUGACUGUAUCUAAUGUUUUUUUUGUUUUGUUUUUUUUUUUUGUUUUUUUGUCUUUUGCAACUCUCAUAAGUUGAUAUUGUUGAAUCUGAAAUUGUGUUGCUCUGUAUUAAUUUAAUUUAGUGAUUCACAAGUGCUGUAGCAUCCAGAAACUCAACUAAAUAUUUGUAUCUUAACACGCAUGGAAAUUUACUAACUUUAUUAAAUAUUGAUCCCACCCUUCCUGUUUAAAAAGUAAACUGAACAUCAAUGCACAGUUGUUCACAGUAUCUCACAUGUUCUGCUGGAUAUUUUGGCAAAUUCAACACAUCAUCGCCCUCUAGUGUCAAAGGCAGAAAGUCACAUCUCUCUCAUAAUAGCUCUAAUUUUACCCGACACAGUGGGCUAUAAAUAGAUGCUGCAGUUCACACAGAGGAAGAACUGAAGAACCAAUAUAAGGAAUUAGUAAGUAGUUCAUGGUGCUUCGACACUUUUGCAAAUCAUUCGUUUCGUUAUGAAUUCCAAUGGUGCGCCGCUAGGGGGCGAUGAUCACUGCGUGAACCCACGAACUAGUCUUGUGUGUUUGAUUUUUACCUUCUCGGAUCAGUUUUUAUACAUUUUUACGCAUUCAGUAACACAUUUGUUUAAUAAAAUGAAAGCUGUAGUUAAAAGUCUCUUAUUGGACUGAUUAGCUCUUCAUAAAACAAACAAAACAAGCCCGGAAAUUUAGCCAAAUAAGAUAGGCCUAUCACAAAUUAUAAAGACACUUCAUAUGUAAUGGUACUAGAUGACUUAUUAAUUGCCAAGACCUUCAAUAGAACAUUUCUAAUGGGUUUGUAAAAGCUGUCUUUAUGCAUGUUUGGACUGAGUUUUCGCUGCUUUUACACUGUUCUGACCAGCAGGAGUCACCAGCGUGUGGCGAUUCGAACCAGUGAAUCAUUUCGCGAAGCAGUUGAUUCAAUUGAUUCAAAGCUUCGUUUCUCACAUUAUUUCUGUCUGAACACUAACAAAACUCGAAGGAAUUACAAAAUAAAUAUAAAUUAUUUUUGGAGAGUGUGAAAAAGUGAAAAACUGUGAAGAACUGUGAAAACGUCUUUCUGCAUAUCCAAAAGAUGGUAGGUAGAGAAAUAUGACUGGAUUCAUAACAUAACUCAUGCAAACAAACAAAAAGAACUUCACUUAUUUACACUUUUAUCAGAGUGAAAACAUUCUUAACUUUUGGACACUUAAAUAUGAUAGUUUCAUUAUUGUUUCUCUCCCUCAGUGUUUCUCAUCUUGUUUUGAUCAGAUUAAAUAG
Molecule: long non-coding RNA, 1705 nt
Organism: Megalobrama amblycephala (Wuchang bream)
Lineage: Eukaryota; Metazoa; Chordata; Actinopteri; Cypriniformes; Xenocyprididae
Exons: 3
Source: RefSeq, a predicted model, not a curated record